Molecule: long non-coding RNA, 1765 nt
Organism: Onychostoma macrolepis
Lineage: Eukaryota; Metazoa; Chordata; Actinopteri; Cypriniformes; Cyprinidae
Exons: 3
Source: RefSeq, a predicted model, not a curated record
CAGAAAAUGAGUGUGCAGUCAGGAAUGUCAGAUCAGAGAGUGAAGAAAGGAAAGAGAGAGAGCAGAGAGGAAGCUAGGCGAGGCGUGAAGCUAAAUCUAUGGAAUGAAGAGAGGAUGAGAAGAGCAGUUAAUGAACUCAGGGAGCAGGAGGCGUUAUGUAACCACACGUGCCAUUUUUCCCGGAUGCGUCCUGCCCAGGAUUUCUAUAUCGCCUAAAAUAUCUCGGUUUUGGCUUUGUUUGCGUGUGCAGACCGAUCGGUGUAUGACAUCAAAGUACCAUACAGACGGUUCCUUAUGCUUUCAAAACGCUCUCGAGGCACUUUGAUGUCAAACACUGAUCAGUCUGAGCCGUGCUGCUUUUAAGUCAAACACACCUAAUAUGUACGCGUAAUUGCAUCGCUUUGACCAUAGAUCCCACCUUCUCACACACAUCAUGAUUGGUCAAUUACAAUGCCUGCAUGUUAUUGGUCAAACUACUUUUCGAUCAUUACCUUCAGCAAGCAUGAAAACAGGAAAACAAAGCCACAAAUCCUAGCAAGGAAGUGUCUGGGAAAAAUGACACGUGGUCACCUGAAUUAUGCAAAAAUCCUAAUGCGCUUCUUAGCCAGGGCAUGGAAUGUGCCAAGGAGCACCCUGUAGAAUGUAGGGCACAGGGUGCUGGCCAUAUGUCUGGGCGCAAACCAUGCAAAUCAGAGGAGUCUGAAAAGGAACUUGCAGCUCGCUCACAACUCUUUCUCAAAAGGGAUUUCCCCUUAAAAGAUCUGAUGACUGGAAAGUUGCUUAUGACGUUGCACCAGCAGCAGGAAUUAAGGGAUUUUCUGAAGAAAAAAAAAGAAAAGAAAAGAAAGCUGGCUACUACUCGUUCAAGAGCUUCAUGAAGCGCAAUCCUGGGCUCUGCUUAAAAAAAAAACAAGUACUCUUAGCUGCCAGGGCUGCUGGAAUGAACCAACAGGUGGUGGUUCGAAGAAUAUUAGUUCUUCGCAUCUCACAAAACUAGAUAUCAAAGAUCUUCCCAGUCAUCUGGAACUGUAACUAGAGUGGAUUUCAAGACAAUUUCUCUUCUGAUCGGGCAGUGGGAGGGGCUGGGAAACCCUGGUUUGAGGUCACAGCAGGAGAGAACGACACAACAGUUGUUGCUAUUGCUUUUAAUGGUGUUAUGCAGUACGUGCCACCACUGAUCAUCUUCAAGGGAAAGAGGGUGAGGCAAGAAUGGCUCUCCACAAAAUGCCAUGGUGAGGGUUUCUGACAAUGAAUGGAUUAAUGCAGAUCUCUUCUAUGAGUGGGGAAAGAUGUUUAUCGCACAGCUCCCGACGGAUGACAGCAGACCUCACCUCCUCCCAGUGGCGGAUUUAGCAAAUUGGGGGCCCAAGGCGAAGAUACUCACCAGGCUCACGGCAGCGCAGCAGUCUCCAGACUCUUCUCAGAGGCCUCCACAGACACUCAAACAUCCCACCUGCGACAAGAUAAGAUAUUCUCAACCAUCACGGAAUGGAAUGCACAGGAUUGAGGGAUAUCAAAGGCAGCGAAGGAUACAUCUAUGCUGCCUUCAAAAUUAGAUCAGAAGAAGGUACCUCCGGGCACAGGAAGUAAAGCAGAAUUUGGAUUCGGACGUGCUUGAUGCCCGCCUUGGAAUGCUGCCUCCGAAGGAAGCAUUUUAGAACUUUUGGACGCAUAUAAGACAAUCUCUGACUGGACGCAGAUGAGACCAGAAGCUAGACCUAUAGAAUUUACAAAUGGCCAUGCCCAUGUUUACAGGAAGAAAAAG